RNAcentral lists this ribosomal RNA (429 nucleotides) under Bacteroidota bacterium. RNAcentral's name for it is "Bacteroidetes bacterium partial 16S ribosomal RNA". It matches the Rfam family "Bacterial small subunit ribosomal RNA", at positions 355 to 776 of the family's 1533-position model. The record is from RNAcentral. Lineage: Bacteria; Pseudomonadati; Bacteroidota.
UAGGGAAUCUUCGGCAAUGGGGGGAACCCUGACCGAGCAACGCCGCGUGAGUGAAGAAGGUUUUCGGAUCGUAAAGCUCUGUUGUUAAGGAAGAACGAGUGUGAGAAUGGAAAGUUCAUACUGUGACGGUACUUAACCAGAAAGGGACGGCUAACUACGUGCCAGCACCCGCGGUAAUACGUAGGUCCCGAGCGUUGUCCGGAUUUAUUGGGCGUAAAGCGAGCGCAGGCGGUUAGAUAAGUCUGAAGUUAAAGGCAGUGGCUCAACCAUUGUAGGCUUUGGAAACUGUUUAACUUGAGUGCAGAAGGGGAGAGUGGAAUUCCAUGUGUAGCGGUGAAAUGCGUAGAUAUAUGGAGGAACACCGGUGGCGAAAGCGGCUCUCUGGUCUGUAACUGACGCUGAGGCUCGAAAGCGUGGGGAGCGAACAGG